This is a long non-coding RNA of Orcinus orca (killer whale), 10168 nucleotides long. RefSeq lists it as uncharacterized. The record is from RefSeq and is a predicted model, not a curated record. The transcript is spliced from 2 exons. Lineage: Eukaryota; Metazoa; Chordata; Mammalia; Artiodactyla; Delphinidae.
AACCCAUAAUCCAAGACUUGGAGGAUUCCAAAUGUAGGCUGUUUAUUUACUCGUACUGAUAAGCUAUUCAUCUUAGAGAUAAGUCCCCUCCUCCCUCAUUCUCAACACAACUCAUUAACUACACCCCCACCCCUUCUCACAUAGUGAAACAGAAAAGACAUUUUAAGGCUGAUCAAACAUUAUCCAGCCAGGUGAGUUCUUUUCUGCAAACCUGCAACUUUGAGGCUCUCAUGAAUCCCCUUGCGGUGUUGGAGGUGAUGACUUUCUUUACCGUAUUUUCCCGAAUGGCCUGCUUCGUACACAAGAUCUCAGGGAAUCCGGCCCACAUGGUAUCGAUCCAAGCUGUGCUGGCUUUUUCUGCAGUGCUGCGUCCUUUUCCUCUUGUCUUAUUUGACCCGUGGUGGCUUUUGGCUCUGGGUAUCCAGUGUUGCACCUUCCUGUUCUAUGAUGGAGGAUGGGCAUGGGGACCCAGGGGGAGCCCAGGGAGGGAGCGGUGAAGUGGAGGGGCGGCCAGCCCAGGAAUGGAGAGGAGACCCCUUGUUUCCUGAGUCCACCCUCUCCUCUCACAAGGAGUCAUUUAUUGAGCGUCUGCUGUAUGCUAGCCGGCAUGAAGGCUGAACGUGAGUAGGGUACAGUCCCCAUUCUGAAGCUUAUGCCCCUUCGAGGCCCUUCGAGUAAACAAGUGUCCCCAACAUGAGAGGAACCUCCCAUAUGUUGACCUUGACAGACGUGGAUACAGAAAAUGUUGUAGGAGCCGCAGAAGAGCAAUUUAUGGUUUUCUAAGAGAGUAUGAGGGAAGGUCAAAUCCAGGUGUCACAAGAAAGUACCACGGUCUUGUCUGUGUCACCAUAGAGACACACCUGUAGGCUCACACACACGUUUCUGUAGGAGCAAAACGCAGUGAUCCAAAGCCAUUGGCCAAUUCCCGGGCCUCCGUGCUUCCUUUCCCCAGCUUGAAACUAACCGUUGGACUCAUUCUUACUGGCUGACAGCACGAACCAGGAGGUAUUUGGAGAUCUCUGCCUUCAGUAGAAGGUGUGAGCAUGCAUGUGCGUGUGUAUGUGAGAGAUGAAAUUCACAUUGGAUGUCGCUUUGGCAUUUUGGGGAAACUCGAGUGGGCAGCAGAGUGCGGUUAGGAGCCCAGGUUCUUGUUCAAAUCUCAGCCCCACCACUUUUCUAGCUUUGCAGUCCUGGGAAAACAAGUUCUCUGGCCUCAGUUUCCUCCUCUGAAAAAUGGGCAUAAUGAACAUAUCUGCCUCACUGAGUUGUUGCAUGAGUUACAGGAGUCGACACAUGUGAAGCCCGUAAUAAACAUUAGCGGCUGUUAUGGUUGCUGCCCUGUUCUUUGUGUCUGUUGUCUCCAGCUUGUAUUUAUGAGCCCGUGCGGGCUCUGUCAGCAGAGGCCUGUGUGGGCCGGAAUGGCUUCAGGACCGUGCUGCUCACAGAACGAACGCCCAGUGCCCGGGCAAUCCUGGUACGAGACCCUCUGCCUCAUGGUGUGACUUAAAGCCACAACACCUACCUCUCCCGAAUUCCUCUUCCAAAAGCCUAUAGCAUUAAUCUUUAAAAUCCUGACCACAGUUUACCUCCAUGAAAGUUCCAACGUGCCGUCACCUGGGGAGAGAGAACAGUUACCCUCUGCUGCCUGGCACAGACACCUUGAUGCACCCCCAAGCACUGGGAACAGCCAGGACGGUCCCUUUGGGCUGGGGAAGAAAGGAGACAGGCCGGGCCUGAGCAGGGGGGCUUGCGGAAGCUGAGCAGGAACCCCGAGGAUCUGGGAGAAGGAGGGCGGUCGUGAUGGAUGGCGCUGGGGCAAAGGCGUACAGGGCUUGGGGGUUUGUGUUUGGGGCAUAUUGCUGGUGCAUAAUAGGUGCUCAAUAAAUAUUUGCCAUUGAAAGAUGGGGCCUGGAAAGAGGCAGCGUGGGCACUGGCAGGCGUGGGCUGUCUCCAGGGUGCCCAGGGCUGGCCCAGCUCAGCAGACAUCGGGGGGCCAGGAAGGGAGGCGCGUGGGAGGGGUCGCCGGCCCAUUCGAAGGCCCAGGGACUCCUCUGUCCCUGCUACCCCUUCUCACCACGGAAGGACCCUGAUUCAGAGGCUUCUAGGAAGCAAGGCUUCCCUGCGGAGCAUCUUCAGUGAUGAGGCAAGGCAGCCACGAGAAACCUCUUUGCAAGAGGAAGGUUGGUGACCUCAGGUUUCUGGAUUUGAUCCUUUCUGCUAGGCUGUUUUAAUCUGCAGAAUUAAGUGGUCAUGAGGCUUAAAUAAAAUAAUAAAAAUCAGGCCCUAGCUUAGGGCGCAGUAUCUAAAGAUACCCUUCCAGGAGGGGGCCGGUUGCCAUUGUUACUGCCCUCAAAGUGGUGCGAGAUGCUGCCAUCUAGUGUGCAUCAGGAGGAGAACUUUAAAAUUUUAAUUAGAAUUGGAAUUAAUUAAUGAAUCUACUAUUAUUUUUAUUAUUAUUUCCUCUGUAGGCCUUAGAAUUCUUUUUCAGAAUAUUCAUCUUCUGUUCUUGAUCUUAGGUGAACUAAUGUAAAUCAAACACGUCCAUUUGUUAUGCUGGCCUCCUGCACACAGAGUAAACAGUCCUCUCUUCUGGUCCCAGAGCUGCCUCUCCCUGUGGGGCAGUGGACGAGUCCCUGAGCCUCCGGAUGUGCUGUGUUUCUUAUCCAUAAAAUGGGCUAACUGGACUUUUCCCGUCCACAACUGAGUGUGAGAAGCCCAAUUUCACCCGUUCAUUCAUUCAUCCGGCCAAUCCGGGGUGGAGUCUGCUGAGUACCAGCCCGGGACCCCCCUUGAGUAAGGAGGGUGCAGGGCUGCCCUCCGGGAGCCGGUGUUCCAGGGAGGAAAUAGAUUCACACACAAAAUGAACAAACCGUGGAACCAUUUCUCACGCAGACUCUCUUCCUCCAUUCUUUGCUUCCAAUCUUUUUCCUUUCCUAAUACUAAAAUUCUUUCCUGACACACAACUCUGAACAUCACCGCCUUGCUCAGAAACUGUCUCCCUUGUCAAUAUAAUAGAGUCCCGUUUCUCUCUCCUGGAAGUCUCUCCAUCCUGGCCGCUCCAUCGGGCUACUUCCAGUGUUUUGAACCCAUAGCAGGUGAAUUUUGCCAGGUGUCAGGUGUUCUGCUAAGUGCUUUAUCUGUUAAUCUUCACCACAACCCAAGAGCUACGUCCUAUCAUCACCCUCUGCUUAUCUGUGGGGAAACUGAGGCGGAGAGAAGCCAAGGAACUCAUCUGAGGCUACACAGCUAGUAAACAGAGGUCCCUGGAGCUCAGACCCAGGUUCCCGUGAUGGCAAAGCCUGUGCCCUUAGCCUCUGUGUCACGCUGCCACCUAGCUUCCUGCUUCUGCAACUCUGCUCUCCCCACAUCCGGUGUACUGGCCAUCUGGUGAAAUCUCACCAGUUACUCGUGGUUCAGCUCAAAAAUCCUGACCACCAGGCUGCCCCUCACAUCCAUGGCCCUGCUUGGCUCCCCCCAGCCCUAGAAGGGUCCCUACCUGGGUCAGGCUCUGUCACGCACGAUGGAGCUUGUACUCGUUUGCCUCGACACAUUACAAGGAUCUCAUCAACGUCUGCGGCGGCCUGAACUAAACACAGUUUUGCUGAAUUGCAGUAAAUGAACAGCACGGGAGAAAGUGCCCCAUACACUGUAAAACACCAGAGAAACGGAAGUCAGCAGAGGCUUUUAACAUUUCUUUAUAAAAUGGAAACCGAUAUGGAAUAUGAAAUGUUCAUUUGUGCCUGAGCGUGUCUUGGUUUUGAGUUUAGGCCACUUUCUAUUACAAUUCAGGAUUGCUUCUGCCAUUUGAACCGGGGGUCACUACACCGGAAAGUGUUUGCGUUACUGAGAAAGAGACUUGAAACUAUCCCUGCGCAGACCUUGCACCAAGGCGAGCUUGACCCUCCUGACAGAACUUUAAGUAGCUUCAGUGCAGUGGCUCCAAUUGGGGGAAAAUCUCACCAGGUAAUGGAUGGGACCCUGGCCUAGGAUCAGGCACUUGGUUCUGUCUGGGCCUCUGCCCCUCGCUGGCUGUACCUUCUUAAACUUCUCAGUGCAAAAAGGGAGCUCCCCAAAUAAUUUCUGAGGUCUCUUCCAAUCCUAGGGUUCUUAGAUCUUGGCUCUGAAGCCGCAUUUCUUGGAGUCAUUUAAUUGAUUUUGGAAAAGCAGUUUCCUUGCCUAUAAAUUGGAGCUGGCCUAAAUUAUCAGAAAAUUGUGGACAUUGCAGAGAAAUAUGUAUGGAAAUUGCCCUUGCAAUUAAAAAUCUAAUAAGUGGAGGGAAGAAGAAAGGAGCACAGCGUGUUGUCAGAGGUAAGUUCAAAAGGACGGCUCCCUGUGGCGGCCAAUUUUCUCUUUUUAGAAGAUGAGUUAAGUACAUGAAACCUGGAAUAUCUUUUUCUUUGGAGUGACAAGCUGAGAUUUACAUAGUCUGUGACAUUAGAAACUACGUCCCUGUUCUGUAAGUAAGAUUGUCUUCCCCUUUCUCAGGUUGUCACGUUCUCUCAUUUCUGGGUGGAUCUGUCUGAUCUUCCUGAAUAAUAGUUCCAGACUCAAAAACUAGCAAGCUUAACACUUUUUGUGGCUGCUAUUGAAAAUUGCUUUAUAUGAAAUAAUUUGGAAUCAGGGAGAAAAAUAUAACAUUAAAAAAACCAAACUUUUCUUAAAUAAUAUAAUAUGCUUAAAAAAAUUAAAUAGUGAUCAAAGAAAUCUUAAAAGUCCAGGCAUAGAUAGCCUCAAAGGCAAGUUCUAUCAGAUAGUUAAAUUUUUAACUAACUCAAUUUUACACAAACUAUUCCUGAGCACAGCAAAAAAGCAAACACUCUCCAACUCAAUUUAUGAGGUUUCCAAAAUCUUGAUAAUAAAAAAAGGACAAGUAGGAAACAGGAAAAUUACUGGCCAAUAACACUUAUGAUCAUCGAUGCAAAAAUUCUAUACAAUAUAUUGGCAAACUAAAUCCAGCAACAUAUUAAAAGGAUAAUACAUCAUAACCAAUUUUGUUUAUUCCAGGAAUGCAAGGCUAGUUUGACUACAAACAUUAAUUAAUUUUCUAAAUUAUCAUAUAAAGGGAGAAAAAUCAUAGCCAAGGAAAAAGGAUCAGUCUAGGAAGCUUAGCCCUACCAGAUAUCAAGGCAUAGUAUAAUACUCUAAUAAUUAAGAUUGUGUGGUAUAGAUGUAGAAAGAAAAAACUAAACAAUGGAACAGAAUGUGGUCCAAAAACCAGAUCUACACAGAUAUUAUCGUUGGGUAUACAACACAGCUGACAUUGCAAAUCUGUGAGGGGAGAACUGACAUUUUAAUAAAUGUUACUGAAAUGAUGAUUUAUCCAGAUGGGGAAAAAAUGGAUUCUACAUCACACCAUACAAAAAAAUUAAUUCCAGGUGGAUUAAAGGACCUAAAUAUGAAAGCAAAGGUAUAAAGCAUUUAUAAAAGAAUAUUUUGAGGACUUUGGAAUAAUGAAACAUUUCUUAAGACAAAAAUUGUAAGAAAGAUAUUAGCAAAAUAAUAAUUGACAAAGGACUCACAUCCAGAAUAUAUAGAGAAAACUUAUCAGUUAAUAAGACAAAGAACCCAAUAGAAAAUUGGGUUAUAAGAUGUCGACAAAUAUUGCACAAAAGAAGGAAAACUCAAUGGCCAAAGAAAGUGUGAAGGCUGGUCAGCCUCAUUAGUAAUUAUAGAAAUGCAAAUUAAAGCCAUAGUGUAAUACCAGUACAUUCACACCAGAUUUAAAGUUUUUAAACAACUGACAAUUUCAUGUGUUGGAAAGAAUGUGGAACAAUUAGAACUACUGGGGGUGGGAAUAAAUAUUGCUGCCGCACUUUGGAAAACAUCUGUAUGGACAUUGCAUUAGUUUUCUAAUGCUGUGUAACAAAAAUCACUACAAAUGUAGCAGCUUAAAAUAUCACACACUUAUUAGUACACAGUUGUAUAGGCCAGAAGUCAGAUGGGCUUGACUGGGUUCCCUGCUUAACUCUCACAAGGCCAAAGUCAACGUGUCAGAAUAUAUAUAUUCUUUUUCAGAUUCUUUUCCCUUACAGGUUAUUACAAAGUAUUGAGUACAGUCACCUGUGCUAUGCGGUAGGUCCUUGUUGGUUAUCCAUUUUAUAUACUCUAGUGUGUGUAUGUUAAUCCCAUACUCCUCAUUUAUCCCUCCCCCCUCCCACUUUACCCUUUGGUAACCAUAAGUUUGUUUUCUAUGCCUGUGGGUCUAUUUCUGUUUUGUAAAUAAGUUCAUUUGUAUCUUUGUUUUAGAUUCCAUGUAUAAGUGAUAUCAUAUGAUACUUAUCUUUGGUUUACUUCGCUUAGUAUGAUAAUCUCUGGGUCCAUCUAUGUUGCUGCAAAUGGCAUGAUUUCAUUCUUUUUUAUAGGUCAAUAAUAUUCCACUGUGUGUAUAUAUACCAUGUCUUCUUUACCCAUUCAUCUUGUAAUGGACAUUUAGGUUGCUUCCAUGUCUUGGCUAUCGUAAACAGUGCUGCUAUGUACAUUGGGGUGCAUGUAUCUUUUCGAAUUAACCUGGAUCACGGUUGCAUGAGUAUUUGCUUUAUAAUUAUUUACAACACAGACAUGUUUUAUAUACUCUUAUACAGUAUGAAAUAUCUCACAAUCCAUUUUUUCAAUGGCAACAUUUGAAUUAAACCUAAUGAUUGGUGUUGUAAAAAAGCCCUGGUCAUCUAGGAAGUGGACACCAGCAUGUCUGGGAAGAAGCAGGAAACCAGGGGCUUUCACAAUAUGAAGGUCUUGAAAGAGAGGAUCUCUAAUUUCAUCUCCGAGCAGCCUCCCGCUGCCCUGCAAUAAUAUCUUGUCUAUCAACCAGCCCUUCCCGUGGGUUCUAGCAACUGCCAAUAUGCAUUGGAGUGAAUACAACUUGACUGUUCCGAGGGACAAAGGUGAGAUAAUUAGGGUGCGUUCACAUUGCAGCAAAGGAAUUUAGAUGAGAUUUGCUUUACCUGUUAGUUGUUUAAAUCAAUAGCACUGGCCACCAUUGUAAUAAAUCUGUCAAAUGUGUAUCGGCCUUACCACGUUUGUCAGUGCAAACCCCAGACCCCGAGGCCUCAUCUUCAUCUCCUUUUCCUGGCCCCUUAUCGGCAAGCUGAGUGAGUACAAGCAUCUGUUUGUAGGAAAUUUCAUUUGGAAUUCUCUUUAAAAACCAGAUCCCUAUAAAAACGGAACAAAGGGAGGUUUUAAGGGGAGGAGAGCUCAUGCAUAAUAAAUUAUCCUUCACUUUUGCUUUGUAAUUUCUUUUGGCCCUAAGCUCUAUUUUCAUGUCUGCUUUAAAUGAUGCAGAGAUUUGUCUGCCGACGAGGGCUAUGGGGGCACUGGAGCGCGAGGCCCUUGAAAAACCUGGACUCUCCCCUGUUCUUGGAGGAAGAGGCACUUUGGGAUGCUCCUACUAGAAAUGUGGAAGGAGGGCCUUCAGCGUACAGUUUGGGGAGGUAAAAUCCACGCAGCAGGGUCUUAAUUCAAGCAGUUUCUUCUAUUGAUAUAAAGGGUUUUUACCAUUAUUUGAACAGGAUGGAUGUGUUUCUUUGAAAAGAGCACCAUGUAAGGGAAGGAAUAAAUACUGAGUAAGUAAAAUUUGAAUUCAUUCUAACGACGACUUUAUCAGCUCUUUCCCUCCAGACACUGGCCAUGCCCCGUGUUACUCUGUAGCCCCAGUGCCUGGUGUGGUGCCUGGAGCUGCUGCUGGGCACUCACUGAAUCACAGUGAAUGAAUGAAUGAAUGAGGUGAACGUUGGGUCCAGCAUCCAGGCUUUGAUUAGUACUCUUCCCUGACCACACUUUCAGGAUCCCUGUAUCAAGAGACUUUCCCCCCAGCUUGUUAUUCUCUGAAUUUUGAAUGGAAAAGCAGUCACAGUUUUCUACUGCACCAAUCACUAAAGUCAUCAGUAACCUGAGGCUGAGCUUCUGGUAUUAAGAUCUUAAAGACUCAAGACUCUGUUUGUAUUUCAUUUCAUAUCUGAAAUGAAAAGUUAAGUUGUGCUAAUUCGUGUAGAAUAGCACAUCACAUAUCUUUUCCCGUAAAAUGAGAUUAUCAAACGAAAUGUAAACAUAACGGAGGAGCUUAGACGGCCUAUCAAGGUAAUUUAAAGAGAUAUCCUGUACUAUUAGGCUGCAAAGCCUUGGAUCCCUUCCUUGAUGGUUGUCAAAGCCAAUUCCUAUGUCCUGAGAAUAAAAGAAAAGAAGCAUCUGUCCACAGAGGUCACUCAUCAUGUUUCCCAGCCAUAAAUUUCUGUGAUACAGAACCAUAAGAGUAGGAAUUUAAGCCAAUGUGUAGUUAGUGAGAAAUAGUUUUUCUGUUUGUUAGGCUGUAUAUGAAGCUGAGGGAUUCUGAAACUGGUCUGCCUGCAGUGCAGGCACACAGGUCUGGAGGUCAAGCACAGAUGCCUUCCUUAGAAGCACAGAACAAGGGCCUGCUCAGGGUUGUCGCUCUUCUCGGGUUGCCCGAGAAGCUCCCUGGCCCCUCAAACAUCAAAGUGACCAGGAAUCAAUUCCUGUGCUCCCCCUCCCAUCAGACCAGGAGCCAAGAGCAUCAAAAAGAGGCUUCUAGCCCCCAGAGGGGCAGGAACACACAGAAUGAACACGACCAUGAAAGUGCGUUCCAAGCUCGAGUGAAAGGCUCUGGAGUGUCGGCUGGGGGAAUUCAUGGUUUUCUAGGUAAGCAGACAUAGCGUCAAAUCCUGCUUCAUUUACGCAUUUCCUCAGCAAAUAUUUGAAUGCGUCCUGUUGGCCAGGUUCUCUUCUAGGCAUCCACGGUAUAUCAGUAGACAGACAAAUUCCCCAUUUUCACACAGCUUGCAGACUGGCAGAGGGUGCAUGUAAACAGACAAUGCAACUAAAUUACCAUAUUUUGUUGAUUUGGGGAAGUACAGAGUUGCCCAUGAGCUGCUCUGAAGUUGGGAGGCCUUCCUUCUAUCUACAAUCACGGGCAUCUUACAGUUGCUGUUGGCCAGUAAGCUGCCUCUAAGCAUUUGUCCUCGCCCCGUGAAUGGGCAAACCUGACCACAGCUGUGUAAUAGGGGUGGGGCCGGGGCGCAGUUGCUCUCGCGAGACCCAGAGUGCGGCGGUCGGAGGUCCCGCCCCGCCAAAGGCCCGCCUGGCGGCCGUGGUCCUCGUGGCGGAGAGCACGGGGAGAGGCGGGUCAGCAGCCUUCUCCCCGGGGCCCUCCAGGCCUUACCGCCUCGGGCCGGCGGGUGAGCUGGGGCACCCGGGGACAGGCUGGGGGCUGUCCCGCAGAGCUCCAGAGCCCUCGCCACGGCCGCCCCCAGGCCUUGAAGCAGCAGCGAGCCUCUCCCUCAGCCCCACCUCUGCGACCUGAUGGCGGCGGCAGCGGCGGCGGCGGCGGUCUCCACGGGCCGCGGUCCACGGAGGCCUCAGCAGCUGGAGUAUAUGGACACUGCCAGUAAGGUAACAGCUUCAACCAGCUUCAGUCUCUCCAUUCACGUUUCAGAAAUUGGUCCAGCUUAGAUCAGUUGUCUACCCCUAGGGGGUGGCCAGGCGUCAGGGUUAAGUUUCAGGGACGUUACACGUCAUGACCUCAGGUUCACCUCUGUGUUUGGGGCGCUUCUCAAAGAAGGACAAUUGUCGUGAGCUGGGGAUUAACCUGAUUGGUAUUUGCUACAACACGGAUUUCUAUGGCUCCUAUACAAACGAUUCUCUCCAGUUUAAAUGAAAAGCUUGAGGGCCAGCCGGCUCCUUCCUCAGCGAUAAUGGCUGCGCAGGGUCUGGGGCCCUGGCCCUGAGGGUGCCGCCAGCUGAGAGCUGCCUCUUCAGCCGGCCUGGGCACUGGAGGGAAGACCUAGACAGGGUGCUGGACGAGUGCUCCGGGGCAGGGUCCCCGGCCCGACUGAGACCCUCUCCUCUUAGCCAGGACCUGGACCUCGGAGGGGGAAAGUUGAGCCGUGGGACCUUGCCCUUUCUUGUCAGAACGGAGAAUAACAUUUGUUUCGGUGGAGGUUUACAGGAACAUCGUGACCUGACCGUGACCUGACCUCAAGAACAAAGGCUCUGAAACCAAGAAGUUAGCAACAACUCACCACACCCUUCCCUCACCUUUCCUAUAAAAGGGCUUUGCUGCAAGCUUUCGGGGAGUUGGGGGUUUUUAACGCAUGAGCCACUUGUCUCCUUGCAUGGCCCUGCAUUAAACCUUGCUCUGCUCCAAACUCUGACAGUUUGG